UACGUAGGGGGCAAGCGUUGUCCGGAUUUAUUGGGCGUAAAGAGCGUGUAGGCGGUCAGGUAGGUCCGUUGUGAAAACUCGAGGCUCAACCUCGAGACGCCGAUGGAAACCAUCUGACUAGAGUUCGGGAGAGGUGAGUGGAACUGCGAGUGUAGAGGUGAAAUUCGUAGAUAUUCGCAAGAACACCAGUGGCGAAGGCGGCUCACUGGCCCGAUACUGACGCUGAGGCACGAAAGCGUGGGGAGCAAACAGG
This 253-nucleotide ribosomal RNA is filed under the name uncultured bacterium. RNAcentral describes it as "partial 16S ribosomal RNA". It matches the Rfam family "Bacterial small subunit ribosomal RNA", at positions 524 to 776 of the family's 1533-position model. The record is from RNAcentral.